RNAcentral lists this transfer RNA (74 nucleotides) under Candidatus Aenigmatarchaeota archaeon. RNAcentral's name for it is "tRNA-Phe". It matches the Rfam family "tRNA". Rfam says of the family: Transfer RNA (tRNA) molecules are approximately 80 nucleotides in length. Their secondary structure includes four short double-helical elements and three loops (D, anti-codon, and T loops). The record is from RNAcentral. Lineage: Archaea; Nanobdellati; Candidatus Aenigmatarchaeota.
GGGGCGGUAGCUCAGCCUGGGAGAGCACAUGGCUGAAGACCAUGGAGUCGUGGGUUCAAAUCCCACCCGUCCCA